RNAcentral lists this ribosomal RNA (510 nucleotides) under uncultured bacterium. RNAcentral's name for it is "partial 16S ribosomal RNA". It matches the Rfam family "Bacterial small subunit ribosomal RNA", at positions 28 to 507 of the family's 1533-position model. The record is from RNAcentral.
GACGAACGCUGGCGGCGUGCUUAACACAUGCAAGUCGAACGAAGAGCGAUGGAAGCUUGCUUCUAUCAAUCUUAGUGGCGAACGGGUGAGUAACGCGUAAUCAACCUGCCCUUCAGAGGGGGACAACAGUUGGAAACGACUGCUAAUACCGCAUACGAUCUGACCUCGGCAUCGAGGAUAGAUGAAAGGUGGCCUCUAUUUAUAAGCUAUCACUGAAGGAGGGGAUUGCGUCUGAUUAGCUAGUUGGAAGGGUAACGGCCCACCAAGGCGAUGAUCAGUAGCCGGUCUGAGGGGAUGAACGGCCACAUUGGGACUGAGACACGGCCCAGACUCCUACGGGAGGCAGCAGUGGGGAAUCUUCCGCAAUAGACGAAAGUCUGACGGAGCAACGCCGCGUGAGUGAUGACGGCCUUCGGGUUGUAAAGCUCUGUUAAUCGGGACGAAAGGCCUUCUUGCGAAUAGUUAGAAGGAUUGACGGUACCGGAAUAGAAAGCCACGGCUAACUACGUG